Molecule: small nuclear RNA, 23 nt
Filed under: Arabidopsis thaliana (thale cress)
Lineage: Eukaryota; Viridiplantae; Streptophyta; Magnoliopsida; Brassicales; Brassicaceae
Description: snRNA_09125
Source: RNAcentral
UCAGGUCAUUAACCACUGACUAG